AUUUGAGUGCACCUCACGUUCGGGCCACCACGUGAGAGUGAGACUCAGCCAACGCCAAGGAACGGCUGUGUGUCAGAUGUGAAAACAUGUUUAUGGGUAUGGGUCAUUGAACAGCCUUGGCGGUCUCAGUGGGAUACCUUGACGAAGGUACCCGCGAGAAUGAUAUUGGCAGGGGCCAAGUUUAAAAAAAUUCAUAAGUCGGGGAAAUUUUGAUGAAAAGAAAUUAUUUGGUAUAGAUUGAAACGAAUUUUGUGUUAUGAACAUUAUUGAGAUAUAACGUUUUUAUAUUGUCUCCAUCUACUCGGCUUUAGAUGCUUUUGAUGGUAAUUGUUUACUCACUGGGAUUAUUUAAUCUCACCCCUCUUCCUAUCCAUUUUUCAGGCUCAGGACAGUUUGUUGAUAGUUGAUUAAGACGAGAAUUAAUCUCGGAGUUGCAUCAUAGGAAGUAAGGGUUCGUAGCUCUACACCUUCUUGGUUAGUUGGGGGCCCACGUGUCACUGUAAACGAAAUUUCAUACUUUAAUUAUCUUUAUUACUAUAUGAAUAAAUUUAUUUUACUCUUACGCUACAAAAGUUAUUUUAGGAAGACUUUGAAAAUAUUGUGUUUUAAGAAAAUAGAAUAUUUUAUUUAAUGUUUUUAUUAUAUUCAAAUAGCUAUAAUUUUACUUUAAACGAAUGUUUUAGACUUCAAAAUUUAAUUUAAAUCAUGAAAUAUGUGUUUCCACUUACAUAUUACAUUUUUUCGGAUUUCGAAAUUUAAAAAAAAAAAUGACGAAAAUGCCCCAGUGAGCUAGAAAAUAAUAUUUUUAUUGUUUUGAGUUGGAAACAACUUAUGAUUUCUUGAAAUGCGAGAUUUAAUAACUGUCGCUCACCGGGGAGAUGCGGAAGUUGAUGCUAAGCCUUGCGGGGUUUCGAUCGGCAUUCGGGGUAAUGAGUGCUUAUCGGGACGUCGCGACGGUUGUCACGGGCCCGAUGGGAGUUCCGGGUCGUGACAAUUAGAUUGGUAUCAGAGCAUGGUUUAAAGAUCAAAGAUUUUGAUUUUAAAGCUUUGGAUUUCAAAGUUUUUGAUUUUAAAGUUGUUUUAAGAAAUCCACACUGACACUGCGUGGCCCAAGUUAAGUUAAGUUAAGUAAGUCAAGUUAAGUUAGGUUAUAUCGAGUUAGUUGCAUAUAGAAUUUAAAGUCAUCUAAGUCUAUUCCAUUUCUUAUUGUAGAGUACCAUGCCUCCUCGACGUGGGCGUCCACCUCUCUAUAGGUCAGUAGGGAGGGGAAGAGGCCGUGCUAGACUUAGUCAGCCAGAUCCCGUGGAAAGGGAGUCUGCUGCACCUACUUUUCGAGCAGCACCUGCUGUUGAGCCUACUGAGAUUCCUCCACCUCCUCCACCACCUACUGCUACUCCUGGUGUUCAUGCCAUGUCUCUUGAGGCAGUCCAGGCAUUAGCAGCUUUUCUUAAUGUCAUUAUGGGCCAAGCUCAAGCUGGUCGAGUCCCUCAUACUGUUCCCCCAGCAGUAUCUCCAGUGCCACCACCACCACCUCUUGUUCCACCACCAGUGCCAGAUGUCUCCAUUUCCAAAAAGCUUAAGGAAGCUAGGCAGCUGGGUUGCACUUCUUUUGUUGGUGAUUUGGAUGCAACCGCAGCUAAAGAUUGGAUUACUCAGGUAACGGAGACAUUUGUGGAUAUGAAAUUGGAUGAUGAUAUGAAGUUAAUGGUGGCCACAAGAUUACUAGAGAAGAGGGCUCGUACAUGGUGGAGCUCGGUAAAAUCACGUUCCAUUACUUCGUUGACUUGGAUAGACUUCCUACAAGAAUUCGACGGUCAAUACUACACCUACUUUCAUCAAAAAGAGAAGAAGAGAGAAUUCCUAAGUUUACAACAAGGGAAUUUAACCAUAGAAGAGUACGAGGCUCGUUUUAACGAGCUGAUGUCAUAUGUGCCAGACCUGGUGAAGUCUGAGCAAGAUCAAGCUAGUUAUUUUGAAGAAGGGCUCCGUAACGAGAUUAGAGAGAGGAUGACUGUGACAGGCCGGGAGCCUCAUAAAGAAGUUGUACAGAUGGCUUUAAGGGCCGAAAAACUCACGAAUGAAAAUCGGAGAAUGCGAGCUGAGUUUGCAAAGAGGAGAAACCCGAAUGUAUCCUCUAGUCAACUGCCCAAAAGAGGUAAGGACACAUCUGCUUCUGAGAGUACUGUUUCUGUUCCGGUGAUAUCUCCUCGACCCCCACUUUCACAGUUACAGCAGAGACCUCCGAGAUUUAACAGGUCUGGGAUGAGUAGUACUUCCGAGAAGAGUUUUGGAGGUUUAAAUAAAUGCGAAAAAUGUGGGAGAUAUCAUGUUGGGGAGUGUUGGGGCGUAAGAUGCUUUCAUUGUGACCAGCCGGGCCACAUUAGGAGUGACUGCCCACAGUUAGGACGGGCUACAGUAGCUGCUCCAUCCCCACUAACUCAUACGGAUAUGCAGAGGAGAGAUUCCUCUGGAGUACACCCGAGGCAGGGGGUAACUGUACGAUCUGAAAUGGGUAGCAACACCCCAGCACAACCACCUUUGAGGCCAUUGACUCGUUCUUCAACAAGAGUUUUCGCUGUAACGGAAGAUGAAGCACGAGUUCGAUCUGGAGAAAGUGAGUGAAAAGUUAGACGAAGGUGUAAAAUAGUGAUAGGGGAUGUAAAUACCAAGUGAUGGACGUGUAAAUAAAGGUUUCAAGAAUAAUAUAGUAAAUGAGUUCAUAUGGAAUAUGGUUGUAAGAAUUUCUUACUAUAUUGUGGAAAUUAGAACUCAAAAAUACUUGAGGUAUACAAAGUUCAAAUGAACUUAAAUCUUAAGCAAUAAAUUGAUGUCGAAAUACAAGAAGGAUACAAAGCAAUAUAGAGGCACGAAAGAUGAUUAAGGACAAAGGGAUGACUCUGAGGAAUUAUGAUACUGCAUCGUAUGCGAUGAUUAAAUCAAGAUAGAUCUUGGAUGCAUAAAUGGGAUUAUAAAGCAUAUACACAUAUGUGGGGUUGAUAUUGUGAUUAACUAAAAUAAAGAAUGAUUUUUAGUGAAUUAAGAUUCCCUAUAAAGGAGAUAACAGAAGAAGUUGAGCAUCGAAUAAAAGAUAAUACCCCGCCUUUUCUUUGAGUUAAUAAGUGAAAUUUUGAGGACAAAAUUUUAUUUUAAGGGGGGUAAUAUUGUCAAACCCUGCUUUGUAAAAUAAUUAUAAUAUCAUUCACAUGCUCGAUAGAAUGUUUGUAUAUUUAGGAAGUUCGAGAAAUCGUUAAAAGACGAUAUUGCCCCUAAUGGUAUCAUUAAGUCGAUUAAGCCUCGAACUAGUUCAAAUAGGAAUUUUAAGGUGAAAUUAAGAGUUUCACAGUUCAGGGAUGACUCAAAAUGGUAAUUAGGAGUUCGAGGAUCAAUUCGGAGUCAAAUUGAAAUUUUCACUAUAUAGGGGUAAAAUUGUAAUUUUUCCAUCUGCGGACAAAAUUUGAGAUUUUGAGAGAAUUUAGAUCACAUUUGACAAAUUGGGGAAUGAUAUGAGUAUAAGGGAUAAAAAAUAUGUCUAUGGGCAAUUUUUCAGUUUUUGGGGCAAAAAUGUAAUUUUUGAUUUUUACGGGGGCAAAAGUGUAAAUAUCAAAAAUUACUUCACCAAGACUUUGGAUAAGUUUGAGAAUUUUAUCUAAGUUAUGGAUAUUUUAAGGAAUAAUGUGUGGUGGAGAUUUAAAGCUUAAAAGAUAAGAAUUUAAAAAAUGGACCAAUAAUGUAGUGACAUGUGGCAAGUUUAGAUUAUUAUAUUAUUUAACUAUAAAAAUCAGCCCACACCACCAUUUUCUCUUCAUUAUGGCCGGCCAUAGCAAGAAAACAAAGGGGAAAAGAAAAACAAAAACCUAGGGGGAGAAAUUCAAGGAAAAAUUGGUGAAAAUUCAAGGAAACAAGUGACCAAAGGUAAAAUUUCUUAAAUUUGACUUGUGCUUUACCUUUCCCAUGCAUUUCCCAUCAUUUUCCAUGGUUGAAUCAUGUGAUUUGAGGAUGAAUUCAAUUCUGGAAAAAUGGGUUAGGAGAGAGAAACUUGUUAGAUUAAUUUGAUUUUAAGUUAUGUUAGUGUUUUAAGUUAGUUUAGCAUAUUUAGGAACAAAACAACAAGAAAAGAAUUUAUUUUCCUCCAUUACCAUUAUUGGCUGAAUUUUCUAGGGGAAUAUUGGCUGAUGAUCUUGAUGUUUAUUUGAGGAAUUAUGAUGAAUAAUGAUGAAUUAUGAGUCUAGAAAAAUAAUGGGAAUUUUCGGAGUAAAAAUAUGAAUUUUUACCCAUUAGGGGUAUUUUCGUAAUUUGCUAUCGGGACUGAUAAUUUGCACCACACUGAGGGACAUUAAGUCAAUUUGGGUGCAAUUGAGGUAUAGAAACUGAAAAAAAUUAAUUUGAGAUUAAAUUGGACGCGUUAGUAAUUUAAUCGGGUAAUAGGCCGAAUUAGGUCAGCACCGCAUUUAAGCGGUAGUCGGAUAAGUUGCAUGUCAUAUCAUGCAUAUAUACCGAGCCUGAAUUGAUUUUAUAAUGGUCAAGCAUUGAUGUGGUGAAUUAUGUAUUGUACAUUGUGGAUAGGUGGUGAGCAAAUUACACUGGUAAAAGUACAAAAAUUGUGCUUGAAGACUGGGAUUAGGAGUACAUCGACUCCUAGAACUGUGAGUGGACAAUUUAUCGUCUUAAAUAUCUAGAGUAAUUAUACUUGUUUGAUGCUUUUAUUGAAUGGUGAAUUUAAAUUAUAAAAUAUUAUGUUUUCCAAUUAAAAUGUUUUUUAAUAAAAAUGAGAUUUAUACUGGUUUUGAAAUCAAAUAUUGUUUUGGGAAAAUUGAGUAUAUGGAGACUGUGUUGAAAUUUAUGAUUUUAUAUGUUAUUGAAAUUGGGGCUUAUGACACUAUGGUAGCAUGAUGGCUAAAUUUUUGGGGUUGGCAUGAAAUAUAUGAACAAUUUUGGAUUGGUCUCGGUAGACUGGAUUACAUUUUAUUCGCCAUAUUAUGCUACUGGAAUUUUUAUGGGUCUGGUGGUAUAUUAAACGGUCACUGCAGUGGUGGGGGUUUCCGUGGACUGCCUAUGAGAGGGGCACGGUAACUCAAUUAUAUACUUACCUCCGGGGGGAGAUGUUGGGUGAAGUAUCUCCUGAGGUAUGAUUUGAGUGCACCUCACGUUCGGGCCACCACGUGAGAGUGAGACUCAGCCAACGCCAAGGAACGGCUGUGUGUUAGAUGUGAAAACAUGUUUAUGGGUAUGGGUCAUUGAACAGCCUUGGCGGUCUCAGUGGGAUACCUUGACGAAGGUACCCGCGAGAAUGAUUCUGGCAGGGGCCAAGUUUAAGAAAUUCAUAAGCCGGGAAAUUUUGAUGAAAAGAAAUUGUUUGGUAUAGAUUGAAACGAGUUUUGUGUUAUGAACAUUAUUGAGAUAUAACGUUUUUAUAUUGUCUCCAUCUACUCGGCUUUAGAUGCUUUUGAUGGUAAUUGUUUACUCAC
RNAcentral lists this long non-coding RNA (5465 nucleotides) under Theobroma cacao (cacao). RNAcentral's name for it is "long non-coding RNA (TCAC_LNC001180)". Lineage: Eukaryota; Viridiplantae; Streptophyta; Magnoliopsida; Malvales; Malvaceae. The record is from RNAcentral.